GGAAGAGGCUCAGCUCAGAUGCUGGCAAAGGAGCAUCCAGCCACAGAGACCAGAGAACACCUUCCUUUUUGCUGCCUCGUCUCCAUCCUUUCUAGAGGGUUUUAUAUUUGCACUCUCUCUUUUAAAAUUUUGUUUCUUUGACUUUUCCCCACCUCUGCUCUGGUUUUAUGAGGGCUUUGUUAAGUCUUAGACGGGAAAGAGACUGAGUGAGGGAAAGAAAGAGGCAAAGUGGAAAGGACCACAAAUUGGCAAAGCCUGUUCUGCUUUUGCUGUGGAUGAAAGUCCUCUGUUUGUAAAGCCCUCUCGGCGUGAGCAGCACGCGCACCCUCCAGAGUAGCCGGACCCUGCACCGCACCUCGGCGUGGCCACCAUGGUCGCCAGAGUUCAGCCUGAUCGGAAACAGUUGCCGCUAGUCCUACUGAGAUUGCUCUGCCUUCUUCCCACAGGACUGCCUGUUCGCAGCGUGGAUUUUAACCGAGGCACCGACAACAUCACCGUGAGGCAGGGGGACACGGCCAUCCUCAGAAUGUGGUCAGAAAUAUUCCCCAAGAGGCUGGUCAUAUUGAUGAAAUAAGACAAUGAUUAUUUAAGGACAAUAGAAGCUUAAAGUAUUCAUCAAAUGUUUUUCAGCUAAACUAAUGUGGUACAAUCCACAUACCAGGACAAUAUGGAGAAAUUGUGACACAGGCCAAGGAGUUGAUGGAGAGCUAGAAGAUAGAGGAUUGAAGACAUUUAGAAAAACUAUGAAAACCAGAAAGAUCAGGGUAAGGACAUGCUACACUAGCUCACCCUCUGUUGUGUCUUUUAUUGUGCUAGGAAAGAUGGUCAUUGUUACUUAUAAAAAUCUCCUCCCCCAAAGUUGCUCUUCUUCCCCUCCCCCAAUCCCAGGAAGACUUUCAUGGAAAAUAGAACCUUUCUGUUAUGCUUACCCAGCUCUGUUCAGAGCCACAGGAUUGAAUACACUCAGAGGCAUAUCCAGCUAAUGCAAACCCUGCUAGCCAAAUAGUUUUUCCAGGCUGAGGGAUGAAGUCAGAUAUGAAGGAAAAGAGUAUAGGAAUAGAAAUGAUAAUUGAGGUCUUCUGAGAGUUAAGAGAGAGAUUAUUCAGUAUAGGAAGCAAAAAUGUCAAGAAAUGGGUUGCAGUCCUGUAAUUUCAUUGGACUAAUUGUGAGUCCUUGAAGCUCGAUUUCCUCUUUACAAAACGAAGGGAUUUGUCAUGAUGUCCUAAUGGUGCCAAUGUGAUGUAAUUAAGUCUAUUCAAGAAAUAAUCCUUAUCUUGAUUAGGUAAAUAGGACUUGAUUAAUUCCACUCUGAUUAACCACUGCCUCUCAACCUCUUCUAGAGGCAUUUUACCCAUUCUACCCAGCAAUUCACCAUCUUCUCCCAGCAGAGAUGAAAAAUGCCCCAGUCUCCUUCAUGAUAGAGAUCAAGCCAAGAUCUAAAUGCUGUAAAACAUAAAACACUUCUGCAGAUGGUUGUGGUUUGCCUUGCAAGUGGAAUGGCAUUGGUGGAGACAAGAUGAGGAGGGGAGAAAAGGAGGGGGGUAUAAAGGAGAGUUUCCUUUAAAACAUCAAAAAGACUUUAUAGAUCUUUUCUGCCCUUUCAUGAAGACUUCAUCUGGCAGCCAGAUUGCCUUAAUGGUCUGCCUAGAAAGACCCACCCUGGCCUGACAUAGCCAGACACACACUUUCCAGCUUUGCUUUGCUUCUUUGAUGCUGUCACAUGUUCUUCAUUUUCUACAUUUCAUUCAUUCUUUGCCUUUAAGCUAUAAGGAUAAAAGUGCCUGGCAUUAAAAAAAAAAUCAGUGUACAUUUUUUAAAGGGGCAGGCAUUUCAUGCAGCUUUGAUUUCCUUCUGGGAGAAAAUCAUUACUUUUCUUUAAAGGAGAAAUUAGAUUUUUUUCUGCUUCCUCUCCCUGCUUUCCACCCUUCACCCCAACGCUCCCAUUUUUCAGCAGUAAGAAAUAACACUGGGUUUAGUGCAGGAACGGGCUAGAGAAAUGAUUGUCUCCUAGAAAGCACUUAUGCCACUACAAUGAAUAAAAAAGCCUAAGCAUUCAUUUACUGCUAAACAAUGACGAAAGACAAUUGGAAUGUUUUAAAGGACUGCACUAUAUUCAACAUCUGGUAAACAUUGGUUGAGAUAGCUGUUUUUAAAACCAGGUGGUGUAGAGGAGGAACGAUAACCAGUAGAGUAUGAUUUUUAUAACCUUUGAAAUGUAUAAGAAGGUUACAUAGAGAGGUCUGAAGCAUUGUGUAUGAAGGAGCAUGUUAACAGAAACAGAGUAAAAACUCAUACUGCAAAGGAAACACUAAUACGAGAGAAUUCCUGUGUGUGGAAUACUCAUGUAAGUCACAAAAUGUGGCCACAGGGACACACUCUAGAUUUUCUCUCCAAAUUAAUGAGCCCAAUUUUAAAAAUAUGGAGUGAAUCUAUAGAAGAAGGACAAGUAGUAAUAUUAAGGAAUAAGAGUUGGCUAGAUGAGUGUCUAAAUACACACAGUGGGGGAAAAUAGGAAGUGAUAAGAUUUCCAGAUAGGAUAAAUGACUACAUCCAUAACAAGUAUUUCGAACCCAAAUGAAAGAAUAAUGUCUGGAACUGAUCCUUAGAUUUGAAUGUGGAAUAAUGCUGGAGAUAUAUGUGUAAUACACAAAAACAAAACAAAACAUUCCCCCAAACAUACAUAUUUCUAGAGGAAGAGGAAAAAUGAAGAAAUCUAUCACCCACCUAUUAAACUCCAGGAAAGGAAAUGGUGCCAAAUGUGGAAACUGGAAAAAAAAAAAUUAAAGGGAAAAUCUGCAAAGUUAAAUAAACUACAAGAAACCCCAAACCAUUCCAAAUACCUCAUUGGAAAUUCAUGAUAAAUGGCUUUAGAGGCACAAACAGGCCAAGAGCUGAUGACAGUAAAACAAAACUCUCUGAAUAACCGGCUGCGUCAGAAUAUCUCCUGUUGGAAGGAGCAAGAAAAAGCGUCUUUGGGAGAGGGGAAAACAAUUAGAAGAACAGGAUGAUCGACCAACCAGAGCAAGCACCAAAUACUUAAAAAGUAAACAUAGGAGGAUCCCAUGAAAGGUACUCAAAAUAUAAUAGUAUAUAUAUAUAAUACCUUUCAAUAAGGUAGCCUAGUCCUUGCUUGGAGCCUCUUUGAAGAUCACCCAGACCCUGUACAUCAAGGGACAGAAUCUUUUAGGGAAUUUGAAACACCAUUUGAAGGUCAGUAUAUGAACAGUGGGCUUAGGAGAAAAAAGGAAUAUCAGGAAUUCCUGUCUUGGUGCAGGAAAUGAAUCUGCCUAGGAAUCAGGAGGUUGUGGAUUCGAACCCUGGCUUCGCUCAGUGUGUUAAGGAUCCAGCAUUGCCGUCAUCUGUAGGUUGCAGAUUUGGCUCAGAUCUGGUGUUGCUGUGGCUCUGGUGUAGGCCAGCAGCAACAGCUCUGGUUAGACCCCUAACCUGGGAACCACCGUAUGCCAUAGGUGCACCCCUAAAAAGACAAAAGACAAAAAAAAAAAAGUAAGAAAGAAAGUAAAAAAAAGAAAAAUCAGGGAAGCUGAUUGCAAUAUUAAUUUCCUUUCUUUAUAAAACAAGUCUAUAAAUCUGAGUAGCACCAAUGUGUCAUUCAGAAUAAUUAGAUAAAAUAAUGACAAAGUCACUGACUUUCUCACUUCCAUACUGGUUGUACUUGUUCCAUUCAUAAUAAAAAGACUGGGAGUUCCCACUGUGGCAUAGUAGGUUAAGAAUCUGACUGCUGCUGCUCAGGUCACUGCCACGAUGAGGAUUCAAUCCUGGCCUGGCAUGGUGGGUUAAAGGAUCUGGCUUGGCCACAGCUGUAGCACAGGUAGCAGCUGGGGCUUAGAUUCAAUUCCUGGCCCAGGAACUGGAAAUUCCAUAUACCACAGGUGCAGCAAUAAAAGUUAAAAAAAAAAAAA
RNAcentral lists this long non-coding RNA (3920 nucleotides) under Sus scrofa (pig). Its description in RNAcentral is "lncRNA (ENSSSCG00065040163.1)". Lineage: Eukaryota; Metazoa; Chordata; Mammalia; Artiodactyla; Suidae. The record is from RNAcentral.